GUGGGGAAUAUUGCGCAAUGGGGGAAACCCUGACGCAGCGACGCCGCGUGAGCGAAGAAGGCCUUAGGGUUGUAAAGCUCUGUUUUAAGGGACGAAUGUCGUGGGGAGUAAUAUGCUCUGCGAAUGACGGUACCUUAAGAGGAAGCCCCGGCUAACUACGUGCCAGCAGCCGCGGUAAGACGUAGGGGGCGAGCGUUGUCCGGAAUUACUGGGCGUAAAGAGCACGUAGGCGGGAACUUAAGUCAGGUGUGAAAGACCGGGGCUCAACUCCGGGGUUGCACUUGAAACUGGGUUUCUUGAGGGCAGGAGAGGAAAGCAGAAUUCCUGGUGUAGCGGUGAAAUGCGUAGAAAUCAGGAGGAAUACCAGUGGCGAAGGCGGCUUUCUGGACUGACCCUGACGCUGAGGUGCGAAAGCGUGGGUAGCAAACAGGAUUAGAUACCCGAGUAGUCC
Molecule: ribosomal RNA, 451 nt
Filed under: uncultured bacterium
Lineage: Bacteria
Description: partial 16S ribosomal RNA
Rfam family: Bacterial small subunit ribosomal RNA
Source: RNAcentral